RNAcentral lists this ribosomal RNA (292 nucleotides) under uncultured bacterium. RNAcentral's name for it is "partial 16S ribosomal RNA". The record is from RNAcentral.
GGACUACAGGGGUAUCUAAUCCUGUUUGCUCCCCACGCUUUCGUGUUUCAGUGUCAGAAAUGAGCCAAGGAGCUGCCUUCGCCAUCGGUGUUCCUCUCGAUAUCUACGCAUUUUACCGCUACUCCGAGAAUUCCACUCCUCUCUCUCACCCUCUAGCAUACUAGUUUCCACUGCGAUUUCUUGGUUAGGCCAAGAGAUUUAACAACAGACUUAAUACGCCACCUACACACCCUUUACGCCCAGUAAUUCCGAAUAACGCUUGCACCCCUCGUAUUACCGCGGCUGCUGGCAC